This 253-nucleotide ribosomal RNA is filed under the name uncultured bacterium. Its description in RNAcentral is "partial 16S ribosomal RNA". It matches the Rfam family "Bacterial small subunit ribosomal RNA", at positions 524 to 776 of the family's 1533-position model. The record is from RNAcentral.
UACGAAGGGGGCUAGCGUUGCUCGGAAUCACUGGGCGUAAAGGGUGCGUAGGCGGGUUUUUAAGUCAGGCGUGAAAUCUCGGAGCUUAACUCCGAAACUGCAUUCGAUACUGCCGUGCUUGAGGACUGGAGAGGAGACUGGAAUUUACGGUGUAGCGGUGAAAUGCGUAGAUAUCGUAAGGAAGACCAGUGGCGAAGGCGGGUCUCUGGACAGUUCCUGACGCUGAGGCACGAAGGCCAGGGGAGCAAACGGG